GUAUUCACUUCCACAGCACAUAUACUAAAAUUGGAACAAUACAGAGAAGAUUAACAUGGCACUCGUACAAGGAUGAUAUGCAAAUCUGUGAAGCAUUCCAUAUUUUG
Small nuclear RNA from Chionomys nivalis (European snow vole), 107 nucleotides. The record is from RefSeq and is a predicted model, not a curated record. Lineage: Eukaryota; Metazoa; Chordata; Mammalia; Rodentia; Cricetidae.